This 70-nucleotide transfer RNA is filed under the name Dipodomys ordii (Ord's kangaroo rat). It matches the Rfam family "tRNA". Rfam says of the family: Transfer RNA (tRNA) molecules are approximately 80 nucleotides in length. The record is from Rfam by way of RNAcentral. Lineage: Eukaryota; Metazoa; Chordata; Mammalia; Rodentia; Heteromyidae.
GGGAAGGUGGCUCAGUGGUAGAGUGCUUGCCUAGCAUGCAUGAAGCCCUGGGUUUGAUUCCUCUGUCCCA